RNAcentral lists this unclassified non-coding RNA (645 nucleotides) under Hevea brasiliensis (rubber tree). Lineage: Eukaryota; Viridiplantae; Streptophyta; Magnoliopsida; Malpighiales; Euphorbiaceae. The record is from RNAcentral.
GAAAUCCCUCUCCUUCCUUUUCGAGUACAUUGGAGAAAUGGGCAAGGAUUAUAUAUAUGCUGUAACUCCAUUACUGGAAGAUGCUCUUAUGGACAGAGAUCUAGUACACAGGCAGACUGCUGCCUCUGCUGUGAAGCACAUGGCUCUUGGUGUUGCUGGUCUUGGAUGUGAGGAUGCACUUGUCCACCUUUUGAACUAUGUCUGGCCAAACAUUUUCGAGACGUCUCCACAUGUGAUCAACGCAGUCAUGGAAGCCAUCGAAGGAAUGAGGGUCGCACUAGGAGCAGCCGUAGUCCUCAACUAUUGUCUCCAGGGAUUGUUCCAUCCAGCAAGGAAGGUUCGAGAAGUUUACUGGAAGAUAUACAACUCCCUCUAUAUCGGCGCCCAAGAUGCCCUUGUAGCUUCUUAUCCUAUUCUGGAAGACGAUGAAAACAAUGUCUACAGUAGGCCUGAGCUGAACAUGUUCAUUUAGAUAUUUCCCUCUUAUAUCUGCUUUGCCAUUUUUUUACGCGUUUUCGUAUUCCAGCACGAUGAAGUAGCGUAGCGUCUCUUGUUUUCAACUACACUUGUGAUGUAUCUUAUAUUCUAUUGUUCCCCGUUUUCCCUUUUUAAACACAUUUGCUUAGCUUUGUAUGAAGUGUUUUU